UUUAUGACUAGCCGUCAAACAACUAGCGCUUUCGAAUUUUUUUAAUCAAAGUUUUCCAAGGUUUGAGGUGUUCUCAGUGUUCUGCGCCUGAUAACCAAUCAUAAUGGAUGGGACUAUCUAUAAACACAACACCGUCGACGUGCUAGAUGCGGGAUCACUGCGACACGGCCGCGUCGUAGUCGACGUGGCGAACGUACGGUUUGUUCGUGGAUUUUCUCUGCCCCGAUCAGCGCCGUCAGUUCUAUCCCUUCCACCAGGUCUUUCUCUCGGACUACUGCCACUCCAUGGACAAUCGCGAACUACAAUUGCUCUUGAUACCAUCCAUCGCGAGCAACCAGAUGGCGGCGUUGAGGUUCUGGUGCGGGCAACCCCCUCACAACCCUUCACGUGGAUACCAGCCAGCGUGAUUUGGCCACAACCGGCCGUGCUCGAGGGCCUGCGCUGUACGGCCUUGGUGGAGUAUUCCCGUCCGGGCAUCGCUGGUGGGCAGCGGGAACUCGUCCCCACUGGGCGGCUGCGCAUUGCCGCCGGUGGUUGGCUGGAUGAGCCACUGGACGAUGACAUGACGCAGGCGGAACUACACAAGCGCGAGGAGGCCCUCGGGCAGGUAUGCGUCUCCCCGGGGCGGUUUGUUGUGCACCGGGUCCCCUUACCCAGCCGUCUGCGCACUAUGGCUCCGCCAACGCUGCUGGCCGCCAUGGAGACGCAACUGGAAAGCUGGAGCGGGUAUCAUCGGGCCGUCUGGACUGUUGUCCCAGCGGCGGUGGAAGGCGAAUCUGUAGUGUGUGUGGAGAAAUUGUGGCGGGAUGGUAAUAACGAGCCCCACGCGGUAAACAUGCCGAGAUUGCUGCAGAGGUUAUUCAUAGCAUCGCUGAUGUGAUCCACAGCUUGACCACCAGCGGUCUGCAGAUCAUCCCGCAUCCCCCAAUGACCAACACUUCCGCCGACAUUGACGAUCUCCCCUCUGAGCUGCUGUCCGAAACCUUCUCUUGCGUGGACAGCUUCCAACGGGUUCGAUUGCGUCGCGUGUGCCGUGCCUGGGCGGACAUCGUGGACGCGGCAGGCUUAUCCAACACCCUCGUGAUUCCCGGCGUCCUAUCUAGAUGCUACCAUAGGGAGCGCCUACACGACCCCGAGUAUACACUGGUGGCGGUUAUCUUUAAACGGCUGCGCAGAGGCACGUGCCGCCUCGUGCUCACCACUUGUCAAGGUGGAUCGCCCGAGAAACUCCCGCAUUUCCCAGAAAUGGAAACUGUGCGCCCUGCUGGAGCACAUGACACCCGCCAUCGGGUGUCGGCUGCGCUCCCUCACCGUGGCAUAUGCGGGAUGGGCGUGGAAGAUGCGGGUAACAGAGGCGGUCACCGUGCACACGGACCGCCCAUCCGAGAUGCAGUGCUUCCUGAACUCCUGUCGGCGUCUGCCGUCUGAGUUGAUCGUGUUAAUGGGAUUUACGGCGCAACUGGUGUGCCGCUUCCCAGAGUAUCCGCCGAUGGUGCUGGUGGUGCGAAUUCCGCGGAUGGUGCUGAAGAACGACGCGGAUAUUGAGUGCAUUCUGUGGAAUGCCCUGGAGACUGGGUUGCCGGCCGUGGACAGGGAGGAAUUGUCGGAGACGUUCGGUCACUGGUUGGGCGUACCCAUGGACUUCGUAAGGAAGUGACUUUUGAAAAUCGGAAAAGGUCAAAACGAAAUUCUGACUGCCGGUCGCUUACCCAUGCGCAGCAUGGGAAUCACCUGAUUAUCAUGACGCUGCCCAAGAUUUUGUGCGCGGUUCAAGGCUUAGAUCCACACCCAACUUCGCCUAACCAUGGUUUUCAAUUCUCUUGCGGCGAUAUGAACCAAGUCAAGAAACUGCCCGUCAUUCCUUCGUACUUUCUAAUGAAAGUCAUCUUUUCAUUUCCUUUUGUGUAAUGCAAUUUUCCGGUGAAUCGACCUGUGGACAAUUUGGUGACUACAUAAUUCUUUGUUUUUACUGCAAUUCCGGAUGAUUUACUCGUACAUAUAUGGGUCAUUGGGUUGCGUUUGUUGCCAACACUAUAUUUUAUACUGUACAGUGUAUCUUUCGUUUUCUAAUUUUUCGGACAAUUAAUUUU
Paramacrobiotus metropolitanus is the source of this 2090-nucleotide RNA transcript. RefSeq lists it as uncharacterized. Lineage: Eukaryota; Metazoa; Tardigrada; Eutardigrada; Parachela; Macrobiotidae. The transcript is spliced from 4 exons. The record is from RefSeq and is a predicted model, not a curated record.